Molecule: long non-coding RNA, 2711 nt
Organism: Chrysemys picta bellii (western painted turtle)
Lineage: Eukaryota; Metazoa; Chordata; Testudines; Emydidae
Source: Ensembl
CAGCUUCCCACAUGUGCUGCCCCGAUCUUCCCAUUGGUGUGUUCAGCAAGAAGGGGCUGGCCCCUUGCAAGUCAUCUUGUGUGCCUCUGACAGAUUAUAUUUUUAAGCAAGAAAACAAAACCAGGAUGUCUUAUGGGCUGCUUUAUCUUUAAGGACAGCUUGGAGCUGCAACUGCAAGGAACGGAAAAGAUUUGGAUCAUUUGCAUCAAUCUCCAACCAUUAAUAAUGGUGCUCUGACCAUGGUCUUGAAGGAAUAAUACAAGGACAUUUUCUGACUCAGCAUGGAGAAUAGAGGCUCUCAAGACAUCCAGCAAUGAAGUGGAGUUUGACCUCUGAUGGAUGAAAUCUGCCGGAAUGGAAGCUAAGCUCUUUGAAGAGGAGCAGGUGUCACCGUAUUUUAUAUAUGCCACAUGUCUGGGGACUUCAGAGGAGUCAAAAAAUGCAAAAUAUGAAACAAAGGUAGAAGAACGUGAUUGCCAACUUGAGUUCCAUAAUGUUCUGCUUGAAUCCGAAUGGAGUUCUAUGUCACGGUUAGUAAGCUACCCUGAGACAUCCUUGGAACCAAGCAGGGUUACAGGCCAUGUUACUGCUGCUGCUGCGCCUGAGGUAAAGCAUCUUUGUGGAAAAUUACUGUAUUCUUCAGGGCACAAACCUAAGGACAGUCUUACACACCUGCCCUCACAUGAGGCAUGUUCCUCACUGCUCCUUCCAAGAGAAAGCUCAGCUGAGAAAUCAGAGAGGGUUCAAGAGAUCAGAGUAAUAACACACAAACCAAGUGCGAUCACUUUUUCUGAUUUUGAAUUUUUAUCACAUAGCGCUAACGCUAAACUCCAUAUCUGUGAGGUCACAGACACAGAGGCGUCUUCAUCUGAAGAGGAGGAGGAAGAUGAUGAGGAUGACGUUUUUACAGAGCUGCCACUGUAUGGGGCAUUUUACAAUGGUCUUUAUAAAAGGACUAUUCUCCUUGGGAAACAAGAUAAAUGUGAGCAUACGAGAAGCCAGGAUAUCUGUCAUUUAGAUGGCUGCAAUGAUCACACUGGAAAGAAAUUGAAUGACCAUGAAAAGGAAGAAAAACAAAUGGACAUGGUGACCCAACCAGAAAAAGGAUCUGAGUGGUCAGACUCUAUGUCAUCUCUCAUGAAGAAACUGGAACAAUUGAAUUUAGAUAUUGAAGAGGCUCUCAGUGCUGGCUCUUCUCCUUCCAGCACUCCUUCUACCAAAAAGCGCAAACAGCCGGACUCAUUUAUCCCCUUACAGUGCCCUGUUAAGGUGGAGACAGGCCUUCUUCACAGAGAUCAUCAGAGAAAGGGAAUCUGUGGGAAUAAGAGGGCAGGCUACCAAGAUUUAGAUGGUUUGCCAAGCUCAGUGUCAACUGGAGCACGACCCAAAACUGAAGUAAGUAGCUAUUGUUUAUAUUACAGCAUAUUCUGGCUUCAAUUCUUUACCACAAGGCUUACUAUUUAUCAUUAAAAUCUUCAUUGUAUUUUUAUUUUAAGCUAAAUACAGUCUAUAAAUAUAAUGCAUCACAACUGUAAAUCUUUUACAAUAAGACUGGCAAGUGUUCCCAAUACAAUAUGACUGAGUAUUCAAGGUCAAGAAUCGGAGUCCCAUCACUAUUUUCUACUAGCAUGUUAUCUGCAUUAUUUUGUUCAUUCACUGUUUAAGAAGAGCUGAAGUCCCUUGGGAGUCUUUCCAUUGAAUUUAACUAGUUGUAGAUCAGGGCUAAAAUUUGAAUCCACAUCUGAAUGUCCCCAAAUUUCAGGACUGUUCAGAUCUGGAGUUUUGGUCUGGGCCCUUUUCUAAUCAGUAGCAUUAAUGUCACUUUGUUUCUUUGCCUGUGAGAUGGUAUAAGCCCUGACCAAAGAGACACCAAUUGCCUUCAACAGACUUUGGAACAGGCCCGUAAUAAGCAAGUAGAUACUGAUAUUUAUGUAGAACUAUGGAAGUAAAGUGAUUCUAAGACCAUGCUCCUAGCUACAAAAUAGCAAAUUGUUUUAUCUGUCGCUUGUAAAUUGCUUUGGUGCCUGCAAUGGUUAAGAUAUUCUCUUUUUGCUAAUGUCAAGUAAAAUAUAUGCAUGUAAGAUACAUUACACAUUGUCUAAGGUGUUUUGAUUCAAGUAAAGGUAUAUCUUCUUAAAGGAAAGAUAAUAACUAUAAUAUGCCCCUUUCUUCAUAGAGUGAAGUUGCAUAGUACUCUGUAAAUUCUAUAUUCCAUUACAGGUUGAAGGUCUGCCACUGUCAUUCAGACUGAAGUUUGAAACAUUGGGGCCCGCCUGUUUGUUGAUUGAAAUACACUAAUGUACUCUCAGGAAAGAUUUUUUCCCUAGUUAAAUAGCUUUCUGCUUCUCUUUUGCAACUGCCCAACUACUUUAGUUUGCUCAAGUUACAUUAGAUCUCAGAAAUCACUAAAGAAAAUGAGAUAUUUGACUGCACUUUACUUAAUUUUUUUUAAGUCAGAUGUUCAAGAAAGCACUGAUAUCUUUGCUUAUGCUUCCUCCCUACCAAUACAAUCUAAAUAACUUUGAAGUGAUGUUACAGUAAUUUUGGUUUUUGGUCUACAAGUGUCUGUGUGUUUGCAGUGGGAGGUGCUGGAAGAGAAGGAAUAAGUGUGAACUUAUCAUCUUAUUCUUCUUUCCUGAUCUCUGCAAUCCCUCCUAGUAUUGUACUUCAAGGAAUGUUGGCAUAAUAAAUACCAAACUCAGAAAACUUCA